Transfer RNA from Felis catus (domestic cat), 85 nucleotides. It matches the Rfam family "tRNA". From Rfam's summary of the family: Transfer RNA (tRNA) molecules are approximately 80 nucleotides in length. Their secondary structure includes four short double-helical elements and three loops (D, anti-codon, and T loops). The record is from Rfam. NCBI's taxonomy places the organism in Eukaryota, Metazoa, Chordata, Mammalia, Carnivora, Felidae.
GCCUGGGUGGCUCAGUUGGUUGAGCGCCCGACUUCCGCUCGGGUUGUGAUUUUGUAGGUCGUGGGUUCGAGCCCCGCGUCGGGCU